GUACUCGCUUCGGCGGUACAUAUACUAAAAUUGGAACGAUACAGAGAAGAUAAGCAUGGCCCCUGCGCAAGGAUGACACGCAUUAUGUUCUCGGUGUGUACAUUGCGU
Bacillus rossius redtenbacheri is the source of this 108-nucleotide small nuclear RNA. The record is from RefSeq and is a predicted model, not a curated record. NCBI's taxonomy places the organism in Eukaryota, Metazoa, Arthropoda, Insecta, Phasmatodea, Bacillidae.